AACGGUGAAGCCCAGCUUGCUGGGUGGAUCAGUGGCGAACGGGUGAGUAACACGUGAGCAACCUGCCCUCCACUUCGGGAUAAGCCUUGGAAACGGGGUCUAAUACCGGAUAUGAGCCUGCAUCGCAUGGUGUGGGUUGGAAAGUUUUUCGGUGGGGGAUGGGCUCGCGGCCUAUCAACUUGUUGGUGGGGUGAUGGCCUACCAAGGCGUCGACGGGUAGCCGGCCUGAGAGGGCGACCGGCCACACUGGGACUGAGACACGGCCCAGACUCCUACGGGAGGCAGCAGUGGGGAAUAUUGCACAAUGGGCGAAAGCCUGAUGCAGCGACGCCGCGUGAGGGAUGACGGCCUUCGGGUUGUAAACCUCUUUCAGCAGGGAAGAAGGCUUCGGUUGACGGUACCUGCAGAAGAAGCGCCGGCUAACUACGUGCCAGCAGCCGCGGUAAUACGUAGGGCGCAAGCGUUGUCCGGAAUUAUUGGGCGUAAAGAGCUCGUAGGCGGUCUGUCGCGUCUGGUGUGAAAACCCGAGGCUCAACCUCGGGCUUGCAUCGGGUACGGGCAGACUAGAGUGCGGUAGGGGAGACUGGAAUUCCUGGUGUAGCGGUGGAAUGCGCAGAUAUCAGGAGGAACACCGAUGGCGAAGGCAGGUCUCUGGGCCGCAACUGACGCUGAGGAGCGAAAGCAUGGGGAGCGAACAGGAUUAGAUACCCUGGUAGUCCAUGCCGUAAACGUUGGGCACUAAGGUGUGGGGCUCAUUCCACGAGUUCCGUGCCGCAGCUAACGCAUUAAGUGCCCCGCCUGGGGGAGUACGGCCGCAAGGCUAAAACUCAAAGGAAUUUGACGGGGGCCCGCACAAGCGGCGGAGCAUGCCGGAUUAAUUCGAUGCAACGCGAAGAACCUUACCAAGGCUUGACAUGCACCGGAC
This 925-nucleotide ribosomal RNA is filed under the name Isoptericola sp. 4SH4_05. RNAcentral's name for it is "bacterial SSU rRNA". It matches the Rfam family "Bacterial small subunit ribosomal RNA", at positions 65 to 996 of the family's 1533-position model. Lineage: Bacteria; Bacillati; Actinomycetota; Actinomycetes; Micrococcales; Promicromonosporaceae. The record is from RNAcentral.